AUGCUCAUGGGUUUGGACACCGUUGCCAAUGGGGACAGGACGGUCGAAUCACACAAGCCAAUGCUCCAACCUGCAUAUCCCAGCACCAACAUAUUGGGUUGUGGCGGCGACGAUGAAAAGGAUGAGAUGGGCAUGCGCAAAUCAGACGCGUAUUGGACUGUGAACUCGGACAAGUUGAUGCUCAAACCUGCAGACACAAUUGGCAGAUGCUCUGUCCAAGGCUGUCCUGAUCAUGACGAGAUGGACACACUAUUGGCUAAGGAGAUGGCUAGCGAGGCGGAGAGAUUCGCUUCAUAUGUUCGCAGCUGGGAAUUUGCCUGGGGCAGAACGUGCGGCUUCUUCAGAGACAUGACGGCGCUGAGUUCCAUGCAGUUUACGCACUACACGCCGGGACAAAAACUCAACAGCGGUCCUGCGUCCGCCACUCAAACCUUGCAGAUCUUCUCCAUCAAGCUCACAGAAAUAGCUGUCGGCCUUAAGUGGCCAUUGUCUGUGUAUGGCUUGGUUGCUGUCCGAGACGUCGCGGAUCACAACCGCAACCUUCUCUUCUCUCGCAAUAGGAGCCAGGCCCAAGAACUGAAAGAAGAUGAUAGGAUUUUGCGGUUGAUCGGCCCAUCACGCGCAAUUGUGUUUACGGAUAGGGUUGACUUUGAAAUCCAACUGAAAGUAAAAGGUACAGGUACAAGUAAGUCUCAAGAUAAAGCAUUGAUCAGCUAUGCGGACUGUUACGACGGAGGAUACGGAUCCUGUGUAUCAACAUUUUCUGUCAGUAACUGUUUCUGCACACUGGAGUUUUGUGUGCAGACAGUCACGCGAACCUUUCAGGCCACUAUCUUGGAUGUCCAGGUUGUCAAAGAUGAUGGUUCAUGGCCUUUUGAAUACGGUGGUCGAUUUUCCUGCUCUCCACUAUCAGGGAAGUUCGUGUUCACUGAUAGUGGAGUCACUCACGCUAUCAAUCACUCAUCUAGCCAAAUUGUGCUGCUUGAUUCAAAAGAUGGAGCAUGGCUGAAACAACCUUGUGGUGGUUACCUACAUAUGUGGAGGCAAGUUGUUUCAGUAGAAAUUGAAGGGCGGUUAGAUGUUUUCAUACAAGCCUACUCCAAAUCUGGCGAUAUCGCUUCACAUGGCGAGGUCCGUUUCAUACCCAAAUCUUGCGGCAUGAGCCAUGGUAAAUGUGCUCUUGGUGGCUCCGAGGUAUCAAUUACUGUUGCUUGGUCCCUUGUUGCUACGGACAAGGGGACGAUUGCAACACAGGGAAAUUUGUUCGAAUGUUGA
Molecule: ribosomal RNA, 1275 nt
Filed under: Triticum aestivum (bread wheat)
Lineage: Eukaryota; Viridiplantae; Streptophyta; Magnoliopsida; Poales; Poaceae
Description: partial small subunit ribosomal RNA
Source: RNAcentral